Molecule: long non-coding RNA, 3524 nt
Organism: Microplitis mediator
Lineage: Eukaryota; Metazoa; Arthropoda; Insecta; Hymenoptera; Braconidae
Exons: 6
Source: RefSeq, a predicted model, not a curated record
AUGUAUGACACGUGACUAACAAUGGUGUGUGACAAAAUGGUGGUGGUUAACAGUAGGAUAUUUAGAGAGUGGGAAUUAGGUCCGGAAGUAGACCCGAAUUCCAGAACGUCUCAAUCUUCUUGAGGCAUUUCUGUAACACUUCCAUGGCUGCGGUUCAAUAACAAGCAUUUGGGUAUACGAGCAAAUGUCUUCCAAGAAUUUAACAAGACCCUCGUCGCCGUGAUUUAAAUGAAUCCACAUUGUGAUAGAAAAACAAAAUAUAACAUCAAAUUUAUCUCUAUCAAAUUUUUUCAAGUAAUUUUGAAUAAUAUCAUUUCUAUUUUGAGAUAACACAAAAUCUAGGUAUUCAAAAGUAAUCGAUUGAUUAAAAUUAUUUUCACGUGCCCGUUGUAUUAAAAUGGGAUCGAGGUCAAUACCCAGUAAAUUUAUAUCUGUAUUUACUGUCAGAUUAUCUUGAAGAAAUUUACGCAGUUCGAUAAUACAAAAUAAAUAUUAAAAAAAAAGAGCGAGACACUGUAAGACCUUGAAGAUAAAUCAGUGGCUGCAAAAAGAGGGUUCUUUAUUUAUAGACAAGAUUGAUCCACAGACGGCAUGUUUCAAAAAAUUUAUAAAAAGGGACCGUCGUCAUCAUCAUCCUUGUCGUUGUCUCGUAAACUGGGUCUCUGCGGCGAAGUAAAACACCCAAGUUGAAAGAAAGAAAGAAAGAAGGGCUCGAAUAUCCAGUGAAAUAGUCCAGGUCCAGGCUCUAUUUUUAAUACACGACCACGAGCCGCCUCUGGAAGUGGUAACAGACACAUUACAUACCAGUCAGUCAGUCAGUCAGUCAUUUAGUUUAGGAUGUGGUGCUGGGUAUGGCGCGUGCGUAUGCUAUAUUGAGUAAAGAAAGAAAGAAAGAAAGGAAAUAAGUAAAGCGGGAAUGAGCAAAUGACUAAUUCCUGUCUAAUCUAAAUUUAGUAAAAAGAGUAUAAUACUACUCUGUUUUAAUGGUAGUAUAUAUGGAAUCAGGAUGCUGCGUACUUGGUGCAACCCAGCCUCUUCCGUCCGGUUGCAGCUGCUAGCUCUAGUAUAUACAUAUAUUUAUAAAAAUCAACUAACAAGCCUGUUGAUGAUGAGACUAAUUCUUUACUUUACUUUAUCCUCCAUAAUACUCUGUAUCCUCAACUCACCCCGGCGUUGCAGCCGACAUCCAGCGCGAUAUAUUUCCGGUCCGGAUGUUGAGAGAACCACACGCCUUGCGGAAGUUGACAGAUACGUUCGUUUGCCGGGUGAAAUUUGUAAUAAUUGAUAAAAUUUCCAUGCCGACUAGCACCCGGAUCUCCAUCACCACCAGCUUCAUUAUUUCCUUUCAUCUUUUAUUAGUAUUAAUUAUUAAUAAAAUAAUAAUAUUUAAAUUAAAAUGACCUGUAAUGAAUAUGUAUAAAUGCAUAAUUUACAGUGUUAUGAUAAAUAAUGGCGAUUAACAAUUAAAAUUGCAACAAAUACCAGAUGGCUAAAUGUGUUGGGACAUAGACGGGAACGGCGAGGCAGCCAUACAACGCAGAGGCAAGUGAAUGAGUCGAAAGAAAUCCAAUGAACAUGUGAGUUGGCAACUGGUGCUGCCGACUGCCGAGAAACGCGGUAAAUUUAAGCUUGCAACAUACCUACGUCGACCCUCAAAGCAGUUGUGACGGACGCGUGUAGUCUAGAGUCUAGAGUUCUCAACUUAUUGCUUGAACUGAUCAGACUAAGACCUCCAACUAUGCCCAGUGGAACACUGAACCGCAACUCUGGUGAUGCAGAGUAUGGUUACAUGUUGGGUGGGAGAAGGAUUUGCCAACAGCGGAAGGAUCGCGGGAUAAUUCGCGAGUGUCCACGACCUAGAUUGCCGCUGUAUACUGGCCUUCUAAAUGGUCCUUGGGGUCAUGGUGGGCUUUAGAAAUCACCACCAAUGUACCUUCAGAGUCACAUUACGUAGACCAUAGACAAUGACCUGAUGAUGCUUGAAAAAAAGGAUCUAUAUCUUAUUUCACUUGAUAUAUUUUAACGGUCUCUACCCGUAUCCACAUCCAAGUCUACCGUCAUAUCGAAUUCUUUCUGUUCUCUCCCAACUCAGUCCUUCAGUUUCUCAAAAAUAAAAAAGAUAAAACCAAAAGAAUAAAAAAAACUCAAAUAAAAGGUAUAUCAGAGAGCACGCGUGUCUACACGUGAGUCUAUCGAACACGUAGUAAUCAGAGAGAUGAAGCAGAAAACCAAAGGCAGGUGCUGGACACACCGGUCCUUUCUUUCUCUCCCAUAUAAUAAAAUGCAUCAACUAAAAGCCCGGAGAUACUUUGAUGUGAUGCGCGUGUGCCGCACCCUGAUGCUUUCUUUGGCUCUCUACAUCUUUACAGUAUACCCUUAUGCUAUUACAUUUAAUUCCUCAACUUUUUCGUCUCUCUUUUUAACUGACAGAUGGGCAGCAAUGUGAUACGCCACGCAGCUUCAAACAUUACAAAGAUAAUGAGUGAGGCUUCUUGUAAGAACGCGUGUACACCAGACUGUCAAUAACUUUUAAAAGACAGACAAAUAUUGAAUUUCCUCAUUCCUGUAUUAACGAAGAGUUUAACUGCUGCUUUACUUAUAUUACUAAAUAUCUACAUUUAUUUAAGCACGUACAUAUCUGCUAAAAUUAUACAAAAAUAUUCAACGAUAAUUUAAUCUAAAUAUUUUAUCAUAUGAUAAUACAUUUUUAAUUAUUUUUUUUAAUUUACACGCUGAAUAAAUUAAGCAAAAAAAUUUUUAAAACCAAGUUAAAUAUAAACGAAAUAAUUUAAACGGGAUGUAUUUACCAUUGAAGCUAGAACGGAAGGGUACAAUGAGUAAGAAGAAGAAGAAAACGGACAAGAAAAAGAUAAAAAAAAAAUUUUAACAUCUAAGUUUAGUUCUGUCUGUAAUAAACUUCCGGGAGCCAGCAUAAGGUGACCAACAUCCUGGGCUUUGAUGAUUUGUGUUUUACUCUGAGUAAAUCCAACCUUUCCGGAUUUUAGUCUGGCUUUUACUUUAAUACUUUAUUAUAAUAGCAAUCGGAUUGAGCGUAGAAGAUUCGGUUGUUACAGGCAGGUACAUGCGGAUAGUCAGUAUUUUUGUGAAUAAAAUAUUCUUAUUCUGCCGGUGGUCCGGAUGCUUUGGUUGUCAUUGAAAUACAUUGAAAUAGUCGUUUAGACAUAACGGCGCUUGGUGGUGGUGAUGGAGACAAUUCAUUGGGUUUCCUCUUUUUGACAUAUCGAACAGAGACUUAAACGACAGCGGAUGCAGUGACAAUAGAAACUUUUGCUUACCAAAGUGAAAAGUCAGUACAGUACCCAGUAGCGGAUACGACACGUGACUUCCGGAUAUAAUCCGGAUAUAUAUUUACAUAUGUAUAUUAGGGUGCUUCGUUUGAACCGACUAUUUUUUUUUUUCGCUCCCAUCCCGAAAUUUUGUUGGAAGUACUCAAAAAAAAAUUCCCUGAGAGUUUGAGCCCUUAAAAUUAAUAUUAAGUACUCGAACACAGCGUGUGAAGAUUU